Podarcis lilfordi (Lilford's wall lizard) is the source of this 80-nucleotide non-coding RNA. The record is from the annotation of a GenBank genome assembly. Lineage: Eukaryota; Metazoa; Chordata; Lepidosauria; Squamata; Lacertidae.
GGCCACAGCUCAGGGGUAGAGCAUCUGCUCUGCAUACAGAAGAUCCCAGGUUCAAUCCCCAGUACCUCUAGGUAGAGCCA